UUUUUGCGUGAGGGAUUGCAGUGUAAAUCCCGCAGCCUGACUAUAAGGAGGUGCGAGGAAUUGAAACGUAAAGCCCGACCCUUG
Molecule: small RNA, 84 nt
Filed under: Gillisia sp. Hel_I_86
Lineage: Bacteria; Pseudomonadati; Bacteroidota; Flavobacteriia; Flavobacteriales; Flavobacteriaceae
Description: Flavo-1 RNA
Source: RNAcentral